UACGAAGGGGGCUAGCGUUGCUCGGAAUUACUGGGCGUAAAGCGCACGUAGGCGGCUUUCUAAGUCGGGGGUGAAAUCCUGGAGCUCAACUCCAGAACUGCCUUCGAUACUGGAGAGCUUGAGCCCGGGAGAGGUGAGUGGAACUGCGAGUGUAGAGGUGAAAUUCGUAGAUAUUCGCAAGAACACCAGUGGCGAAGGCGGCUCACUGGCCCGGUACUGACGCUGAGGUGCGAAAGCGUGGGGAGCAACGGG
This 252-nucleotide ribosomal RNA is filed under the name uncultured bacterium. RNAcentral describes it as "partial 16S ribosomal RNA". It matches the Rfam family "Bacterial small subunit ribosomal RNA", at positions 524 to 775 of the family's 1533-position model. The record is from RNAcentral.